This 95-nucleotide ribosomal RNA is filed under the name uncultured bacterium. RNAcentral describes it as "partial 16S ribosomal RNA". It matches the Rfam family "Bacterial small subunit ribosomal RNA", at positions 1405 to 1500 of the family's 1533-position model. The record is from RNAcentral.
UGAGAGUUGGGAAUACCCGAAGCCUGUGAGCUAACUUUUAGAGGCAGCAGUCGAAGGUAGAAUCAAUGAUUGGGGUGAAGUCGUAACAAGGUAAC